This 433-nucleotide ribosomal RNA is filed under the name uncultured bacterium. Its description in RNAcentral is "partial 16S ribosomal RNA". It matches the Rfam family "Bacterial small subunit ribosomal RNA", at positions 29 to 507 of the family's 1533-position model. The record is from RNAcentral.
AACGAACGCUGGCGGCAUGCCUAACACAUGCAAGUCGAACGAGACCUUCGGGUCUAGUGGCGCACGGGUGCGUAACGCGUGGGAACCUGCCCUUAGGUUCGGCAUAACUCCCCGAAAGGGGUGCUAAUACCGGCUAAUGUCUUCGGACCAAAGAUUUAUCGCCUUUGGAUGGGCCCGCGUUGGAUUAGCUAGUUGGUAGGGUAAAAGCCUACCAAGGCGACAAUCCAUAGCUGGUCUGAGAGGAUGAUCAGCCACACUGGGACUGAGACACGGCCCAGACUCCUACGGGAGGCAGCAGUGGGGAAUAUUGGACAAUGGGCGAAAGCCUGAUCCAGCUAUGCCGCGUGAGUGAUGAAGGCCUUAGGGUUGUAAAGCUCUUUUACCCGGGAUGAUAAUGACAGUACCGGGAGAAUAAGCGCCGGCUAACUCCGUG